AGUGAACGCUGGCGGUAGGCCUAACACAUGCAAGUCGAACGGCAGCACAGUAAGAGCUUGCUCUUACGGGUGGCGAGUGGCGGACGGGUGAGGAAUACAUCGGAAUCUACUUUUUCGUGGGGGACAACGUAGGGAAACUUACGCUAAUACCGCAUACGACCUACGGGUGAAAGCAGGGGAUCUUCGGACCUUGCGCGAUUGAAUGAGCCGAUGUCGGAUUAGCUGGUUGGCGGGGUAAAGGCCCACCAAGGCGACGAUCCGUAGCUGGUCUGAGAGGAUGAUCAGCCACACUGGAACUGAGACACGGUCCAGACUCCUACGGGAGGCAGCAGUGGGGAAUAUUGGACAAUGGGCGCAAGCCUGAUCCAGCCAUACCGCGUGGGUGAAGAAGGCCUUCGGGUUGUAAAGCCCUUUUGUUGGGAAAGAAAAGCAGCAGGUUAAUACCCCGCUGUUCUGACGGUACCCAAAGAAUAAGCACCGGCUAACUUCGUG
RNAcentral lists this ribosomal RNA (492 nucleotides) under uncultured bacterium. Its description in RNAcentral is "partial 16S ribosomal RNA". It matches the Rfam family "Bacterial small subunit ribosomal RNA", at positions 29 to 507 of the family's 1533-position model. The record is from RNAcentral.